RNAcentral lists this small RNA (27 nucleotides) under Bombyx mori (domestic silkworm). RNAcentral describes it as "ovarian small RNA-36255". The record is from RNAcentral. Lineage: Eukaryota; Metazoa; Arthropoda; Insecta; Lepidoptera; Bombycidae.
UGUUUGCCUAGUCGCUCUUAUUCGCCC